GAUGAACGCUGGCGGCGUGCCUAAUACAUGCAAGUCGAGCGAACAGAUGAGGAGCUUGCUCCUCUGACGUUAGCGGCGGACGGGCGAGUAACACGUGGAUAACCUACCUAUAAGACUGGGAUAACUUCGGGAAACCGGAGCUAAUACCGGAUAAUAUAUUGAACCGCAUGGUUCAAUAGUGAAAGACGGUUUUGCUGUCACUUAUAGAUGGAUCCGCGCCGCAUUAGCUAGUUGGUAAGGUAACGGCUUACCAAGGCAACGAUGCGUAGCCGACCUGAGAGGGUGAUCGGCCACACUGGAGCUGAGACACGGUCCAGACUCCUACGGGAGGCAGCAGUAGGGAAUCUUCCGCAAUGGGCGAAAGCCUGACGGAGCAACGCCGCGUGAGUGAUGAAGGUCUUCGGAUCGUAAAACUCUGUUAUUAGGGAAGAACAAAUGUGUAAGUAACUAUGCACGUCUUGACGGUACCUAAUCAGAAAGCCACGGCUAACUACGUG
This 497-nucleotide ribosomal RNA is filed under the name uncultured bacterium. RNAcentral's name for it is "partial 16S ribosomal RNA". It matches the Rfam family "Bacterial small subunit ribosomal RNA", at positions 28 to 507 of the family's 1533-position model. The record is from RNAcentral.